RNAcentral lists this transfer RNA (73 nucleotides) under Felis catus (domestic cat). It matches the Rfam family "tRNA". Rfam says of the family: Transfer RNA (tRNA) molecules are approximately 80 nucleotides in length. Their secondary structure includes four short double-helical elements and three loops (D, anti-codon, and T loops). Lineage: Eukaryota; Metazoa; Chordata; Mammalia; Carnivora; Felidae. The record is from Rfam by way of RNAcentral.
GCCUGGCUGGCUCAGUCAGUAGAGUAUGCAACUCUUGAUUUCCAGGUUGUGAGUUCAAGCCCCAUGUUGGGCA